GUGCUUGCUUCAGCACCACAUGUUCUGAAGCUGGAAAGAUACAGAGGAGAUUAGCAUGGCCCCUGCGCUAGGGUGACACACACAUCCGUGAAGCGUUCCAUAUUUAG
Small nuclear RNA from Talpa occidentalis (Iberian mole), 107 nucleotides. The record is from RefSeq and is a predicted model, not a curated record. NCBI's taxonomy places the organism in Eukaryota, Metazoa, Chordata, Mammalia, Eulipotyphla, Talpidae.